Molecule: ribosomal RNA, 395 nt
Filed under: uncultured Gammaproteobacteria bacterium
Lineage: Bacteria; Pseudomonadati; Pseudomonadota; Gammaproteobacteria
Description: bacterial SSU rRNA
Rfam family: Bacterial small subunit ribosomal RNA
Source: RNAcentral
AAUGGGCGAAAGCCUGACGGAGCAACGCCGCGUGAGGGAUGAAGGCCUCUGGGCUGUAAACCUCUUUUAUCAAAGAAGAAGAUCUGACGGUACUUGAUGAAUAAGCCCACGGCUAAUUCCGUGCCAGCAGCCGCGGUAAUACGGGAGUGGCAAGCGUUAUCCGGAAUUAUUGGGCGUAAAGCGUCCGCAGGCGGCCCUUCAAGUCUGCUGUUAAAAAGUGGAGCUUAACUCCAUCAUGGCAGUGGAAACUGUUGGGCUUGAGUGUGGUAGGGGCAGAGGGAAUUCCCGGUGUAGCGGUGAAAUGCGUAGAUAUCGGGAAGAACACCAGUGGCGAAGGCGCUCUGCUGGGCCAUCACUGACGCUCAUGGACGAAAGCGAGGGGAGCGAAAGGGAUU